AUUGAACGCUGGCGGCAUGCCUUACACAUGCAAGUCGAACGGUAACGGGCCUUCGGGUGCCGACGAGUGGCGAACGGGUGAGUAAUACAUCGGAACGUGCCCGAUCGUGGGGGAUAACGAGGCGAAAGCUUUGCUAAUACCGCAUACGAUCUACGGAUGAAAGCAGGGGACCGCAAGGCCUUGCGCGGACGGAGCGGCCGAUGGCAGAUUAGGUAGUUGGUGGGAUAAAAGCUUACCAAGCCGACGAUCUGUAGCUGGUCUGAGAGGAUGAUCAGCCACACUGGGACUGAGACACGGCCCAGACUCCUACGGGAGGCAGCAGUGGGGAAUUUUGGACAAUGGGCGCAAGCCUGAUCCAGCCAUGCCGCGUGCAGGAUGAAGGCCUUCGGGUUGUAAACUGCUUUUGUACGGAACGAAAAGCCUUCUUUUAAUACAGGAGGGUCAUGACGGUACCGUAAGAAUAAGCACCGGCUAGCUACGUG
Molecule: ribosomal RNA, 482 nt
Filed under: uncultured bacterium
Lineage: Bacteria
Description: partial 16S ribosomal RNA
Rfam family: Bacterial small subunit ribosomal RNA
Source: RNAcentral